Long non-coding RNA from Hirundo rustica (Barn swallow), 600 nucleotides. RefSeq lists it as uncharacterized. The transcript is spliced from 3 exons. Lineage: Eukaryota; Metazoa; Chordata; Aves; Passeriformes; Hirundinidae. The record is from RefSeq and is a predicted model, not a curated record.
CAGUGGCCUCCCAUGGCAUAAGGGGCACUAAUUGAAUUUAAAGAUGUCAUAAGCCGGAAGCUCUCCUGCUCACUUCAUAUCACAAUGAAUUCCAAUUCAACAGCACUGGCAGCAGCAGCAGCACCGGAACAGCACUGAGGAGCUGUAAAGUUCACUGAUGAGUGUUAGCUGAGGACAAGGCAGGUCUAGUUAGAACAAGGAUUGCAAAGAGCAAGACUGCAGUCAGUCAGUGAGAAAUGGGUACAGCAGGAGAAGCAAAGAGAAAAGGCAGAGGAAGGCAGAACCUGCACAGAGUGAGAACCUGGGACACAGCAGUACCUCCAAGUUGACAGACUCAUUUUUAGAAUAAAGGCUCUCUGGCUGCUCCAGUUUCCUCACUGUGUGCCACUCACCCCAGUGAAAGAACAUGAAAAGAAAUUAAGAGACUGUGGGAGAGAGAUUCUGCUUUCACCUUUCCUAAGAUCCGUGGGACAGGGAGUAACAAGAAAUACAGUUUUGUAUUUCUAUCCUUCCCCACAACACAAACUGCUUUGACAGGAAAUUUGCAGAUUGCUACCUCAUUUUUAUCUCUUCUCCAUGCAUUCUCCUUUCCCUGAAAGC